UGGACGAAGUCUGACGGAGCAACGCCGCGUGAACGAUGAAGGCUUUCGGGUCGUAAAGUUCUGUUGUCAGGGAAGAACAAGUACCGGAGUAACUGCCGGUACCUUGACGGUACCUGACCAGAAAGCCACGGCUAACUACGUGCCAGCAGCCGCGGUAAUACGUAGGUGGCAAGCGUUGUCCGGAAUUAUUGGGCGUAAAGCGCGCGCAGGCGGUUCCUUAAGUCUGAUGUGAAAGCCCCCGGCUCAACCGGGGAGGGUCAUUGGAAACUGGGGAACUUGAGUGCAGAAGAGGAGAGCGGAAUUCCACGUGUAGCGGUGAAAUGCGUAGAGAUGUGGAGGAACACCAGUGGCGAAGGCGGCUCUCUGGUCUGUAACUGACGCUGAGGCGCGAAAGCGUGGGGAGCGAACAGGAUUAGAUACCCUGGUAGUCCACGCCGUAAACGAUGAGUGCUAAGUGUUAGAGGGUUUCCGCCCUUUAGUGCUGCAGCAAACGCAUUAAGCACUCCGCCUGGGGAGUACGGCCGCAAGGCUGAAACUCAAAGGAAUUGACGGGGGCCCGCACAAGCGGUGGAGCAUGUGGUUUAAUUCGAAGCAACGCGAAGAACCUUACCAGGUCUUGACAUCCUCUGACAACCCUAGAGAUAGGGCGUUCCCCUUCGGGGGACAGAGUGACAGGUGGUGCAUGGUUGUCGUCAGCUCGUGUCGUGAGAUGUUGGGGUUAAGUCCCGCAACGAGCGCAACCCUUGAUCUUAGUUGCCAGCAUUCAGUUGGGCACUCUAAGGUGACUGCCGGUGACAAACCGGAGGAAGGGUUGGGGGAUGACGUCAAA
Molecule: ribosomal RNA, 829 nt
Filed under: uncultured Bacillus sp.
Lineage: Bacteria; Bacillati; Bacillota; Bacilli; Caryophanales; Bacillaceae
Description: bacterial SSU rRNA
Rfam family: Bacterial small subunit ribosomal RNA
Source: RNAcentral